This 148-nucleotide non-coding RNA is filed under the name Gorilla gorilla gorilla (western lowland gorilla). The record is from Rfam by way of RNAcentral. Lineage: Eukaryota; Metazoa; Chordata; Mammalia; Primates; Hominidae.
GCUGGGUGUGGUGGCGCACACCUGUAAUCCCAGCUACUUGGGAGGCUGAGGCAUGAGAAUCGCUUGAGCCUGGGAGGCCAAUGUUGCAGUGAGCCGAGAUUGCACCACUGUACUCCAGCCUGGGCGAUACAGUGAGACUCUGUCUCAA